ACCGUAAGAAUAAGCACCGGCUAACUACGUGCCAGCAGCCGCGGUAAUACGUAGGGUGCGAGCGUUAAUCGGAAUUACUGGGCGUAAAGCGUGCGCAGGCGGUUAUAUAAGACAGAUGUGAAAUCCCCGGGCUCAACCUGGGAACUGCAUUUGUGACUGUAUAGCUAGAGUACGGCAGAGGGGGAUGGAAUUCCGCGUGUAGCAGUGAAAUGCGUAGAUAUGCGGAGGAACACCGAUGGCGAAGGCAAUCCCCUGGGCCUGUACUGACGCUCAUGCACGAAAGCGUGGGGAGCAAACAGGAUUAGAUACCCUGGUAGUCCACGCCCUAAACGAUGUCAACUGGUUGUUGGGUCUUCACUGACUCAGUAACGAAGCUAACGCGUGAAGUUGACCGCCUGGGGAGUACGGGCCGCAAGGUUGAAACUCAA
RNAcentral lists this ribosomal RNA (428 nucleotides) under uncultured bacterium. RNAcentral's name for it is "bacterial SSU rRNA". It matches the Rfam family "Bacterial small subunit ribosomal RNA", at positions 477 to 904 of the family's 1533-position model. The record is from RNAcentral.